CUACGGGAGGCAGCAGUGAGGAAUAUUGGACAAUGGGUUAGCGCCUGAUCCAGCCAUCCCGCGUGAAGGACGACGGCCCUAUGGGUUGUAAACUUCUUUUGUAUAGGGAUAAACCUUUCCACGUGUGGAAAGCUGAAGGUACUAUACGAAUAAGCACCGGCUAACUCCGUGCCAGCAGCCGCGGUAAUACGGAGGGUGCAAGCGUUAUCCGGAUUUAUUGGGUUUAAAGGGUCCGUAGGCGGAUCUGUAAGUCAGUGGUGAAAUCUCACAGCUUAACUGUGAAACUGCCAUUGAUACUGCAGGUCUUGAGUAAGGUAGAAGUGGCUGGAAUAAGUAGUGUAGCGGUGAAAUGCAUAGAUAUUACUUAGAACACCAAUUGCGAAGGCAGGUCACUAUGUCUUAACUGACGCUGAUGGACGAAAGCGUGGGGAGCGAACAGGAUUAGAAACCCCAGUAGUCC
This 460-nucleotide ribosomal RNA is filed under the name uncultured bacterium. RNAcentral's name for it is "bacterial SSU rRNA". It matches the Rfam family "Bacterial small subunit ribosomal RNA", at positions 339 to 796 of the family's 1533-position model. The record is from RNAcentral.